Molecule: long non-coding RNA, 5800 nt
Organism: Ostrea edulis (European flat oyster)
Lineage: Eukaryota; Metazoa; Mollusca; Bivalvia; Ostreida; Ostreidae
Exons: 3
Source: RefSeq, a predicted model, not a curated record
UUUUGUCUGGAUUCAUCAUCUGCAGCAUUCUCUGUCCCUGUCAAACACAUAAUGUGAUUGAAAACAAUGCCUACAGCUACAUCACAGGCACAGGAAAACCAACAACAGCAGCCAAAUACAUAUGUACCAAUUUUGAUGGGGAGGUUACUGAUGGCCUAUGCUCUGCAUGGAGCAAAGGACCUAUGUAAGUAAGUAACUUCUAGAAAGACAAUGUUCAACUAAACAAGGACCCAAGUAAAACAGGUCCUUGUCAAUCAAGGCAGAUUCAUUUGGUACAUUAAAUACAAAAACCAUGUGAAUCCGAACAGAUUGCUCCAUUUACCACUCCAGUAACAUACACCGUACAAACAGAGACUUUUUGAUUCAGGUUUUCUGGAGAUAUGUUUAGAUUAUAAAUCUUGUAUCUAUUGUACUGUACUGCAGUGUGAUUUACCAUCAAUAAACAAUUGCCAUCGCCCCACCUGUUUGUAGAAGUUGGGACCGAAUCCCACUCCAGCCCAGAUCUCGUCCUCUUCGUCUCUCAUCUUAGGGUCAGUCACCUGAUCCACAUACUUCUGUAGUUUGGCCACCGCUUUGGCGACCUCCUUGGAAUUCGCCUCUGGUUUCACGUAAAUCCACAGAUACAGUGCGUGGUUCUUGCCUUGAGAGAAAACCUACAAAAAUAUGUGCUUGUGUACAACAUAAUUUUUUUUAGUUCCCCUUUACAUUAAGUGACCAUUAAACUAAAAUGAUCCAACCCAGAAAUUCUAUUGCCAAUCCUCUCUAGAUCUUUUCCACCAAGUUUACAGGUUACCAAUAUAUUAAAAAUACUCACCGAGAUGAUAUAGCACCAUUUAAUAAAGGUAUAAUAAAUCUAGUGAGUCAGCACUUGGGAAAAGUGAUCUCUCACUGAAUGCUAAUAUUUACAAUUUUUACCAACGAAUGAAAGAUCUAUCUUACCUAUACCUACUCACCCAUACAUGAAGCUGGUGAGUCACAAAUGGCAAAAACAAUAUUUCAAUUUUAAUAGCUAUACCUUUAUCAUGAAAAUUUCCAUCUCAGUGAUGGGUAUAUUGAAUUCAAAGUAGAUCUAGUUGUUUAAAAAAUAAUUGCAGGUGUUGAUAUACCGGCUUCGACAUAAACAAAAAAACUCCUAAAUGCUGACAUACUGUUUUAAACAUGUUAAAGUUUAAACUGUGGUAUAUAGUAAGGGUGUUGUGCAUGUAAGAUAAAUAUUUUACAAAUUGAACUGUUUUGAUAAAUAAAGAGCAGAUAACUACACAUUUUACAAUGAAAUAAAAUAGUAAUUUUUUGUCAAUGAAUCAAUUCUUAUGCGUAAGCAGUGUAUCUAAAUAAAAACUAGGAUUCUCCUGAUAUGCUCCUACAAUACUAUACAAUUAUUGCUGAUUUUGAGGUCAAUACGAUAAUUUAGGCACCUGAGGAGUACAAUAUUCACCGAGCCCAAAGGGCGAGGUGAAUAUUGUACUUCGAAGGUGGCUAAGUCAUCGUAUUGACCUCAAAAUCAGCAAUAAUUGUUUUAUUAUAUGAUUAAAUGAUUAAAAAACCCUUCAAGAUUGUUAAUGUGACGACCGGAAAAUAAACCUGCUGAAAUCUUAGCCGAACCCAGUGAGAAAUGCGGAAUUUCAUUGGACGGCAAAAAUAAGUAUAAUCGAUCGCGUCAAAUUGGAAGUUCCCGACCUAUUUUUGGUCCUAUGUGGAAAAAAUAAUUCCUUAUGUUCACCUGGAAGGUCACGUGCAGGUAAACAUAACGUAGUAUGAUUUCUACAUUGUUGGAUCUCAGCCAAUUAGAGAGCUAGGAAUUAUUCAAUCAUAUAAUAAAAUAUAUUACAACAUGAAAUAUAACCAUUUGUACACAAGCAAGAUCUAGCUUUUAGGAAAUUUUAUCUGAUUUAAAUCACUUCUUUUCAUUAUUGCAUGAUUUUUUAUUUCAACAUACACUUGAUUUAGAUUUUAUUUUUUAAAAAAACUUACUGAUGGCUGGCUCUCGACAGCACCUGCUGCAUGUAGAGAAGGAACCCAUAACUGUGCCAUACUCUCUUCAGACUUCAUGUAUUUAUAGACCCCAUAUCCCGCCAGGGCGGAGCCUAGCACCAGUGGUGCCAAGGAUCUGCCCACUUGACCCGCUGGUCUUGUGGAAACAUUGCGACCUGUAAUUUUGAAGUAAUUUAUUUUAUUACGUAUGUACAUGUAUACACAAACUGAAAUUGCUGAUUGAAGAUGGGAUCAUAAUUUGGUUGAUAUGGCUACUGUGUAUUUAUCAUAUAAACUAGCUGCAAUUUUUAACAAAAUUCACUUGCAACUUCUACAUGUACAAAUAUAUCCAUGUAAAUUGGUUGCCAAAGGUUUCGACCCUUCUUUACUUUUGACCUUAUAAAGAGGUUUUGGUCUUUUUCUACUUGGCACUUAAAUUCUAAAGGUUCCGGCUCAUUUUUUGGUUUUUUUAUGUCAAAUUCACAUUUUACCUUAGAACAUUCCAUAACUAUUUUGUCAUUCCUUUUAAGAUUUUUUUCUUGCAUAUUUUCUUGCUUCUCCAUAAUAAGUACAUCUUAUAUAAUACAUGCAUACACUCCCUGAAAUGUUCUAUUUUCCCAGUUGAACGGUGAACGCACACAGAGCGAACGGUGAACGAAAUUUAGUUGAGCGCACGGUGAAUGCAAAGUGAACGGUGAGCGCACGGUGAACGCAAAAUGGUCUUUUCAUUCGGUAUAUUUCGGAUUUUUUCCUUGGAUUGUACUUACUUUAUAAUCAGGUAUAGAAUAUAUAUAUGAAUACAUCUGUUUGUUUAUUUUUGUGCAAAUACUGGAUGUACUUCUCAUGAAAUUAUGAUCGUAAAUUUCACAUCAAUGCACGUAACAAUGAUGGACAAACAAAAGAAAAUUUCACAUGUUCAUUGUUUACAGUAUUGCAUAUUCUGUACAGAUACAUGCAUACAUGAAAACUAGAAACAUAAAUUUUAUAAUAUUUAGAAUUCUUGACGUUUUCAUAAAUCAUGAAUAUUGGUGCGUCAUCUCGGUAUGCUACAUGUAAUUAUAUAUUUUGACUUAAGAUGCAUAAUAUUUAAUUUCUUAAUACAAGAGUAUAAAUGAGUCUAGUAAUUAUAGUGCCAAGAAUUUACAGAUGGACAUGCAUGACUUCAGAGUUUACAAAUGCGGUCGUUUGGAUUACACGCAGUUAAAAAAACAUCCCCGAAAGGAGUCGAGAUAAAUGCAUUGAACAACCAGCACGGGUAGAACAUGUACAUCAUGUACUUCGUGUUGACACCUGAAGGCUUCGAAAUAGUAUAAAAGGUUUAUUCCCACGUAGAUUUUGCGUAAUUCACUUUACUGUAAAUACAGAUAUAAUAUAUCGAACUGAGGAAAUAAUCUCCCAGAAUUAAUGUACGUAUGUACAAAAUAAAUAGUGUGACCAUGAAUUUACAUUUAGAUUGUGCAAUAUUUGUAUAUUUUUGAUGCGGAUAAUAUAGGGUUAUUGAACUUAUAUUGGUGAAUAUUGGCACGAGUUGGCUGUGAAAAUGCACGAGCUUGCAAGUGUAUUUUGACAGCCAACGAGUGCCAAUAUACACCAAUAUAAGUUCAAUAACCCUUUUAUUAUAUAGCUAAAGUAUUUAGUUGUUAAGUUAUAUCCCCUUUCACUCAAACUACUCCAAAAUAGAUGAGAAUUCAUCAAUAUUGGCAGUGUGCAAUAACAGCUUGCAUUUCUUAACUGUUUAAUAUUUAACCCGUCAUUAAUGCAUGAAGCAAACUGAUUUUGUAAAUGGGGACAUCAUAAUUUAUGUACAGUAAAACAUUUUGCUUAAGUAAAUUUAUAUCAAAUACCGGCUCUGUCAGAUUCGGAGGACCGUCAUCUGCCAUUUUGGCUUGUUUACGUCGUUACGGUAACGUCAAUAUUGAACACUCAUACUCGGAAUGUUUCGGGCGCAUACAAUUUACGCAGUGCAAAGUUAGCGUCAGGAUAUUGAACGCUAACAUUUUCUAGAUUUUACGCAGAUUUUAUAUUAGACUAUUUAUUAGCUAUAUAAUAAAAACUGUUUAUUGCACUGAACUAUACGUAUAUCAUAUGUGGGGCAGAAAUAUACGAGAAAUAUUUCCUCUUUAUAUUAGAGACAAACGUUUUAAAACUUUUAAAUUUGGGGAAAGGAGUAAAUAUAUUUAUUGACAAUGUCUCUCAUAAAGAUAGACGUAAAAUAAUAAGAAAUAUUUGUCAAAUCAAUUUGACCACGAAUGUGCAUUGAAAUGUACAGUGUAGCAUAUUUUUUUUAGGUAUGAGCGAGAGAGAGAGAGAGAGAGAGAGAGAGAGAGAGAGAGAGAGAGGUGUUAAGAAAAAUGAUAAACUUAUAUAGAAUUCUUGUCAAGCGAGACAAAUUAAAAUAUAAUAAAUUGUGUUUUCUCCAUACUUGAAAAUGUUAAAAUGAUAAUUCGGGUGGGGGCGAGGUAUUUAUUAACUGAAACUGCUUCAUUUUCGUACACGUACCAGCGCUCGUUGCUUGUUUUUCGCUAUAAGCACAUGUAUAAGGGUUAAAUUCAUAACUGAAGGCUCUUGUAUUUUUCUCUCAUUCAGAACUUCUCCCACUUUUUACCCAAACAAUAAUUGUGUUUGUAAUGAUAAUAACAAUGAUUUAUUCUAUUCUUUGAUAUUGAUGAGUGAUCCGCAGUUUUCCCUGAAUUUUUGCAGUUGAUAAUCUUGAUAUUUGUACUUUAUAAAUUAAAUUUCUGAUAUAAUAAGAAGUUUACUUUCACUCUUAUGCACAAGUUCCAUUUUCAUUUUUGCCUUGCUAUGGAAAUUCGAUCCUUUGACUGUGGUAUUCCGAAUGACAGUGAACGGUGAACGCAUGGUGAGCAAAAAACUGUAAAUGGAGAGCGCACAGUGAGCGAACGGUGAACAAACGGAGAGCAAAUGGUGAACGCACGGAGAACGAACGGAAAAAUGGUAAAGUAGAACGUUUCAGGGACUGUAAUCCCAUCAUUGAGAUUUCUCCUCUGCCGUGCAUCGUCUAUAUGAAAAAAAUCCAUAGCAAAAUGUGAAUUUUUGAGGUUUUAGACAGAAAAAUGCAUACUGGUACUGCACAGACAACAGUAUGUCAUACCAUACUUGCUAUCACAUGUUGAAAGUUACCCGCCUGCCAUCUUGCUUACGAAGGAAUGCAUCACGUGAUAUUUUGUCUAUAGAUACACCACCUUGUAGUGAACAAGUAGCAUUGUCCGAUUGUUUAGAUAUUUGAAUUUUGUAUUUCUACUUCAUUUGUUUUAUAUGAUGUACUUCAAUUGCAACAGAAGUGAUCAAACUACUUUGAACUUAUUGUGAUGGCGUAAUGUACGAUUUACGUAUUGUUGUUCUGUAUUCCUACGCAUAGGAUAGUGGUUUGUCCGUUUUAUUAUGAAGAAUUAUUUUGACUUAUGUUUGUAUGCCAUCAUAUUUGAUUAUAAUUCGCUGUACAGAAAUAGGACAAUUUGACAUUAUGUACUUUUCUAUAUCUGAAGUUUUUAUGUCUAUGAUUUAAAUUAGUCCGGAGAUGCUCUAGUAUAUAUUGAUUGUUUCGGUCACAUGACCAAUUUUAGAAAGUAUAUAAAGCGGGAAGUUUGCCAGUUUCAUCACCCUGAUCUGUAUCGAUUACAUCGUUCAUUUCAAAGAGUCAAAACAUUGAAAAUUCAUUAGGUAUGCAAAUGUAGAAAUUAUACUAAAUAUAUAGUUUUAGAGCUCUCCACCACAAUCCACAAUGAUGUUUGUUAGGAGUUUAUUAUUUUAAUCCGACAAGGCAGUAUUUCUAUAUGUUGUGUCCAGCAGAUAAAUUCAUACAACGAAA